CGUGUAGGCGGCUUUGUAAGCUUGGUGUAAAAGGUGUCGGCCCAACCGGCAUUAUGCGCUGGGAACUGCAAGGCUUGAGUUUAGGAGGGGGAGCUGGAAUUCCUGGUGUAGGGGUGAAAUCUGUAGAUAUCAGGAAGAACACCGGAGGCGAAGGCGAGCUCCUGGCCAUAGACUGACGCUGAGACGCGAAAGCGUGGGGAGCAAACA
This 207-nucleotide ribosomal RNA is filed under the name uncultured bacterium. RNAcentral's name for it is "partial 16S ribosomal RNA". It matches the Rfam family "Bacterial small subunit ribosomal RNA", at positions 568 to 774 of the family's 1533-position model. The record is from RNAcentral.